GAAGAACGACAUCACAGAGAAGUAACAAGGAAGGACCACGUCGCAGAGCAGCUGAAGCUUUGGAAACGAGGCCAUCAAGUGCUACUUAUUCUCUUGGCCUGUCACAGAGUGGCUCUUCAUCUCCCGCAUCAGAUAGGCUGGCAGGCUCUACUCUCAGCAGCUCAUGGGAUCCCAGUGUCUCCAUUCCAAGGCGAAGUAGGCCAUUGAAUGCGGAAACAUCUGCUCCAGCGGACGUUCAACCUUCCAGAGGUUCGAGCUCCAGGAAUUAUUCAGAGGGGAUCCUUGGAGGAA
Molecule: long non-coding RNA, 291 nt
Organism: Ornithodoros turicata
Lineage: Eukaryota; Metazoa; Arthropoda; Arachnida; Ixodida; Argasidae
Exons: 3
Source: RefSeq, a predicted model, not a curated record